AGAGUUUGAUCAUGGCUCAGAUUGAACGCUGGCGGUAUGCUUAACACAUGCAAGUCGAACGGCAGCACGAGAGAGCUUGCUCUCUUGGUGGCGAGUGGCGGACGGGUGAGUAACGCGUAGGAAUCUGCCUAAUAGUGGGGGACAACUCGGGGAAACUCGAGCUAAUACCGCAUACGCCCUACGGGGGAAAGCGGGGGAUCUUCGGACCUCGCGCUAUUAGAUGAGCCUGCGUUGGAUUAGCUUGUUGGUGAGGUAAUGGCUCACCAAGGCGACGAUCCAUAGCUGGUCUGAGAGGACGAUCAGCCACACUGGGACUGAGACACGGCCCAGACUCCUACGGGAGGCAGCAGUGGGGAAUAUUGGACAAUGGGGGAAACCCUGAUCCAGCAAUACCGCGUGUGUGAAGAAGGCCUGCGGGUUGUAAAGCACUUUCAAUUGGGAAGAAAAGCUUAGAGUUAAUACCUCUGAGUCUUGACGUUACCUUUAGAAGAAGCACCGGCUAACUCCGUGCCAGCAGCCGCGGUAAUACGGAGGGUGCAAGCGUUAAUCGGAAUUACUGGGCGUAAAGCGCGCGUAGGUGGUUUUGUAAGUCAGAUGUGAAAGCCCUGGGCUCAACCUGGGAAUUGCAUUUGAUACUGCUUGACUAGAGUAUGGUAGAGGGAAGCGGAAUUCCGGGUGUAGCGGUGAAAUGCGUAGAUAUCCGGAGGAACAUCAGUGGCGAAGGCGGCUUCCUGGACCAAUACUGACACUGAGGUGCGAAAGCGUGGGUAGCAAACAGGAUUAGAUACCCUAGUAGUCC
This 799-nucleotide ribosomal RNA is filed under the name uncultured bacterium. RNAcentral describes it as "bacterial SSU rRNA". It matches the Rfam family "Bacterial small subunit ribosomal RNA", at positions 8 to 796 of the family's 1533-position model. The record is from RNAcentral.